This 252-nucleotide long non-coding RNA is filed under the name Lathyrus oleraceus (garden pea). RNAcentral describes it as "Pisum sativum (pea) long non-coding RNA (PSAT_LNC012224)". The record is from RNAcentral. Lineage: Eukaryota; Viridiplantae; Streptophyta; Magnoliopsida; Fabales; Fabaceae.
UUAGGCAACUGAAUCCAUGCUUGGUUCUUGCUAAAAACACGAGUUCAUGGAUCUGCAAAAAUAAACUCAAGGUUGAAGAAUGAGUGCUUCGUGCGUGAUUCAAAACUCCUAGCCAAUAGGAUCCCGCCAGCGCAUUUUUUCAAACAUUCUAGCUGUUGGCGCGCUUUCUUUUAUUUUAUUUUAUUUUUAAUUUCCUUUUCCUUUCUUAUUUAAUUUUGAGUGAUUUUUAAUUCAUUUUUCAUCCUAUUUUUU